UAAAUAUAAAAAACCAAAGAGGAGUUAAAUUUAUUCCUCUCAUCACCCCAACAAAACACCCAAUCAACUUAAAAUAGAUAAACAAACACAACAAAAAAGAUAACUAGGUGUCAAACUCUAUAGGGUCUUCUCGUCCCAUAAAAACAUCUAAGAAUUUUAACUUAAAAACUAAAUUCAAUAAACAAUACCUUUAAGACAGCUUAUGUCUCGUCAAGCCAUUCAUACCAGAUCACAAUUAAAGAACUAAUGAUUAUGCUACCUUUGCACGGUCAAAAUACCGCGGCCCUUCAACCUUAUAUAAGUCAGUGGGCAGGCCAUACUUCAAAAACUAACAAGAAAAGAUGUUUUUGUUAAACAGGCGGACAUAAAAUUUUGCCGAAUUCCUCAAAAGAAAUUAUACACCUCUCAUAUAAAACAAUACAAAACCCAAAUUUACUAAUUACACAAUAAUUACUAUUCAAACAAAAAUACAAAAAACAUUUCAAUAAAAACUUAAAUCACAUAAAAAUUUAAAAAACAAAUAACAAAAUUUUAACAUAAUCAAAUUGAAAAUCACUAUAAAAUCCACAAAACUAAAUCAAAACAAGCAAUUAUAAAAGCAAAAUAAGGAGCUAAUCCCCCUUAAUUUUAGCAUCAAAUAAAAAUAAAUAG
RNAcentral lists this ribosomal RNA (651 nucleotides) under Microcerotermes nervosus. Its description in RNAcentral is "partial 16S ribosomal RNA". Lineage: Eukaryota; Metazoa; Arthropoda; Insecta; Blattodea; Termitidae. The record is from RNAcentral.